This 253-nucleotide ribosomal RNA is filed under the name uncultured bacterium. RNAcentral describes it as "partial 16S ribosomal RNA". It matches the Rfam family "Bacterial small subunit ribosomal RNA", at positions 524 to 776 of the family's 1533-position model. The record is from RNAcentral.
UACGUAGGGUGCAAGCGUUGUCCGGAAUUAUUGGGCGUAAAGAGCUCGUAGGCGGUCUGUCGCGUCGGCUGUGAAAACUCGGGGCUCAACUCCGAGCUUGCAGUCGAUACGGGCAGGCUAGAGUUCGGCAGGGGAGACUGGAAUUCCUGGUGUAGCGGUGAAAUGCGCAGAUAUCAGGAGGAACACCGGUGGCGAAGGCGGUUCUCUGGGCCUUACCUGACGCUGAGGAGCGAAAGCGUGGGGGGCGAACAGG